Molecule: ribosomal RNA, 460 nt
Filed under: uncultured bacterium
Lineage: Bacteria
Also listed under: 1 other name
Description: bacterial SSU rRNA
Rfam family: Bacterial small subunit ribosomal RNA
Source: RNAcentral
GAUGAACGUUGGCGGCGUGCCUAAUACAUGCAAGUCGAACGGAGAUUGUAGCAAUACGGUCUCAGUGGCGAACGGGUGAGUAACGCGUUGGUGACCUGCCCCGAAGUGUGGAAUAACAGAUCGAAAGAGCUGCUAAUACCGCAUAAUAUCCAGAAGAUUAGACGCUUUUGGAUUAAAGGAUUUAUUCGCUUCGGGAGGGGCCUGCGUCCCAUCAGCUAGUUGGUAAGGUAAUGGCUUACCAAGGCUAUGACGGGUAGGGGACCUGAGAGGGUGGCCCCCCACAAUGGAACUGAAACACGGUCCAUACACCUACGGGUGGCAGCAGUAGGGAAUAUUAGUAAUGGGCGAAAGCCUGAACUAGCAACGCCGCGUGUGCGAAGAAGGCCUUCGGGUUGUAAAGCACUUUUAGAGAGGAUGAGGAAGGACGGUACUCUCAGAAUAAGUCUCGGCUAACUACGUG